GAUGAAGAACGCAGCGAAAUGCGAUAAGUAGUGUGAAUUGCAGAAUUCAGUGAAUCAUCGAAUCUUUGAACGCACAUUGCGCCCCUUGGUAUCCCGAGGGGCAUGCCUGUUCGAGCGUCAUUUCACCACUCAAGCCUGGCUUGGUGCUGGGCGACGUCCCCUUUGGGGACGCGCCUCGAAACGCUCGGCGGCGUGGCACCGGCUUUAAGCGUAGCAGAAUCUUUCGCUUUGGAAGUCGGGGCCCCGUCUGCCGGAAGACCUACUCGCAAGGUUGACCUCGGAUCAGGCAGGGAUACCCGCUGAACUUAAGCAUAUCAAUAAGCGGAGGA
RNAcentral lists this unclassified non-coding RNA (329 nucleotides) under soil metagenome. Its description in RNAcentral is "partial contains 5.8S ribosomal RNA, internal transcribed spacer 2, and large subunit ribosomal RNA". The stretch from base 1 to 120 matches the Rfam family "5.8S ribosomal RNA", at positions 35 to 154 of the family's 154-position model. The record is from RNAcentral.